RNAcentral lists this ribosomal RNA (253 nucleotides) under uncultured bacterium. RNAcentral describes it as "partial 16S ribosomal RNA". It matches the Rfam family "Bacterial small subunit ribosomal RNA", at positions 524 to 776 of the family's 1533-position model. The record is from RNAcentral.
UACGUAGGGGGCAAGCGUUGUCCGGAUUUAUUGGGCGUAAAGAGCUCGUAGGUGGUUCGGUAAGUCGGAUGUGAAAUCUCCAGGCUCAACCUGGGGGGGUCAUUCGAUACUGCGGUGCUUGAGGACUGGAGAGGAGACUGGAAUUCAUGGUGUAGCAGUGAAAUGCGUAGAGAUCAUGAGGAAGACCAGUGGCGAAGGCGGGUCUCUGGACAGUUCCUGACACUGAGACACGAAGGCCAGGGGAGCAAACGGG